Molecule: ribosomal RNA, 685 nt
Filed under: Streptomyces sp. YIM 56334
Lineage: Bacteria; Bacillati; Actinomycetota; Actinomycetes; Kitasatosporales; Streptomycetaceae
Description: bacterial SSU rRNA
Rfam family: Bacterial small subunit ribosomal RNA
Source: RNAcentral
UGCAGUCGAACGAUGAAGCCCUUCGGGGUGGAUUAGUGGCGAACGGGUGAGUAACACGUGGGCAAUCUGCCCUUCACUCUGGGACAAGCCCUGGAAACGGGGUCUAAUACCGGAUAACACUCUGUCCCGCAUGGGACGGGGUUGAAAGCUCCGGCGGUGAAGGAUGAGCCCGCGGCCUAUCAGCUUGUUGGUGGGGUAAUGGCCUACCAAGGCGACGACGGGUAGCCGGCCUGAGAGGGCGACCGGCCACACUGGGACUGAGACACGGCCCAGACUCCUACGGGAGGCAGCAGUGGGGAAUAUUGCACAAUGGGCGAAAGCCUGAUGCAGCGACGCCGCGUGAGGGAUGACGGCCUUCGGGUUGUAAACCUCUUUCAGCAGGGAAGAAGCGAAAGUGACGGUACCUGCAGAAGAAGCGCCGGCUAACUACGUGCCAGCAGCCGCGGUAAUACGUAGGGCGCAAGCGUUGUCCGGAAUUAUUGGGCGUAAAGAGCUCGUAGGCGGCUUGUCACGUCGGAUGUGAAAGCCCGGGGCUUAACCCCGGGUCUGCAUUCGAUACGGGCUAGCUAGAGUGUGGUAGGGGAGAUCGGAAUUCCUGGUGUAGCGGUGAAAUGCGCAGAUAUCAGGAGGAACACCGGUGGCGAAGGCGGAUCUCUGGGCCAUUACUGACGCUGAGGAGCGAAAG